AAGGGGCUCAUUUACCCAGCACUCCCAGGGCAGGGGGAGCAGCUCCCCCACAGUCCCUGCCCUGUCCCCCACACAGCUCUGCCUGGACAGUACAAAACAAAAUCCAAAGGGAACACGUUCUGUGCCACUGUUCCUAGGUGGACACUCCAUCCUUCCCACCUGCAGUGGCUGCUGGGGUCACUUCCUCACAAAGGUUUGUGUUCAAAGCAGUCCAGGCUGGCCAGGACUGGGAGCUGGUGUGGGGCAGAGCCACGGCCUCAGGGCCACCAGGAGCUCCCUUCAGUGGCCACAGGAAGGGACAGUCCCUGCCAUCCCCAGCCUCUCCCUGAGCCUCAGGGCUGUUUCAGGGGAGACUGCUCAGCCAGAAGGCUCGGCCAGUGCCACCUGCCCUGCUCUGACCCCACACAGACAAACUGCUGCCUUCUCCUUCUCCCUUGGGGAAAAUCACCCAUGGAGGAGCAGGAGGACAAGAGCAGCACGACAACAUGCAGCUCACGGGCUGUCCAAACCAAAUCCAAUCCUGAGGGCGUUGCACAACAUGCAGAAACAACCAUGCUUCUGAAAAGGGUGUCACAUUCAAGCAUUGACUUUCACACAUCACCUGAGCUGUGACAUUGCUGUAAAUGCCAUGUGGCUCUGCAUCAGCUUCCAGUACCCCAGAGUGCAGCCUCCAUGUUCACAUAUUCCUCUAUCAUACAUCACUGUGUCUUAAGAUAUACCUCUCUCUGUAUAUCUGCUUAGGCUGAUACUUGUUCCUGAUAAGCAGUCGCUAUGUUUUAUAUCCUCUUAUAAAGAAAAACAAAUCUUUUUUUGUAAGUAUGUUUAAAAAACAAAAAUGCAAAGUGGAAGUGUUUGCUGAAUCUCCUUCAGCUCCUUUUAAACUAUGUAAUAAUGUACAGAGAAAGUUGUUGGUGUUCAAAGAAAUGAUGUGGCUGUGCAAUUUAUGUACAUUUGCAAUUAGAAAUAUUAAAGAUUUAUUUAGAUAUUUUACAUAAGUGCUCCAGCACCUCUACUCAGUCAUUUCCAGCUUUUAGAGCAUCCUGGCACAUGCCACAUGCACACACAAACCUGUCUUAUCUGCCUCCCCAAAGAGAUCACUGAAAUUUGCUCCCAGUAGAAUUUUAGCCCUGACUCCACCACUUUCCCUUCACUUGCUUGGGGGGUGUGACAGCCAGGCCUGCUCCUGUCCCCACCAGUCCUUACAAACCACCCUUCUGCCUCCAGUAAAAGAAAACUUGGAGGAAAGUCAUUAAAACCCUGGGCAGCAUCAGCACCUCUGCCUCAUUAACAUAAUCUUAAUUAGCUCCUCCAGGAGAGGUGGAAGUCAGGCUGGCUGCAUCGAAAUGAGUGGGGAUGUGGAGAGCACCUGUGGCUGUUCCUGUGCUCACAGGGCUGGAGCCGGGCUGGGCACACUGGGCUCCUCCUGUUCCUGUCAGGAACCGGCCCCUGCCCAGGGAGGGAAGCCAAAAUCCUCUCCCCAGGGCUCUGCCAUCCCCCUCAACACUGUUGGUUUUGAAGGCUGAGAGAAAGAAAAAUGCAGCCCUGGAAACACACAGAACCUCUGAGAACGCUGCAAGGAGGGAUUAGUCAAAACCACCUUGACUUGAAUAAAACCUCCUUAGCGGCUGUUGGGCUUCA
Long non-coding RNA from Zonotrichia albicollis (white-throated sparrow), 1638 nucleotides. NCBI's taxonomy places the organism in Eukaryota, Metazoa, Chordata, Aves, Passeriformes, Passerellidae. The record is from Ensembl.